UACGGAGGGAGCUAGCGUUAUUCGGAAUUACUGGGCGUAAAGCGCACGUAGGCGGCUUCGUAAGUCAGAGGUGAAAGCCCGGAGCUCAACUCCGGAACUGCCUUUUAGACUGCAUCGCUUGAAUCCAGGAGAGGUGAGUGGAAUUCCGAGUGUAGAGGUGAAAUUCGUAGAUAUUCGGAAGAACACCAGUGGCGAAGGCGGCUCACUGGACUGGUAUUGACGCUGAGGUGCGAAAGCGUGGGGAGCAAACGGG
RNAcentral lists this ribosomal RNA (253 nucleotides) under uncultured bacterium. RNAcentral describes it as "partial 16S ribosomal RNA". It matches the Rfam family "Bacterial small subunit ribosomal RNA", at positions 524 to 776 of the family's 1533-position model. The record is from RNAcentral.